AGUGAACGCUGGCGGUAGGCCUAACACAUGCAAGUCGAACGGAAGCACAGUAAGAGCUUGCUCUUACGGGUGGCGAGUGGCGGACGGGUGAGGAAUACAUCGGAAUCUACUUUUUCGUGGGGGAUAACGUAGGGAAACUUACGCUAAUACCGCAUACGACCUACGGGUGAAAGCAGGGGAUCUUCGGACCUUGCGCGAUUGAAUGAGCCGAUGUCGGAUUAGCUAGUUGGCGGGGUAAAGGCCCACCAAGGCGACGAUCCGUAGCUGGUCUGAGAGGAUGAUCGGCCACACUGGAACUGAGACACGGUCCAGACUCCUACGGGAGGCAGCAGUGGGGAAUAUUGGACAAUGGGCGCAAGCCUGAUCCAGCCAUACCGCGUGGGUGAAGAAGGCCUUCGGGUUGUAAAGCCCUUUUGUUGGGAAAGAAAAGCAGCAGGUUAAUACCCCGCUGUUCUGACGGUACCCAAAGAAUAAGCACCGGCUAACUUCGU
This 491-nucleotide ribosomal RNA is filed under the name uncultured bacterium. RNAcentral describes it as "partial 16S ribosomal RNA". It matches the Rfam family "Bacterial small subunit ribosomal RNA", at positions 29 to 506 of the family's 1533-position model. The record is from RNAcentral.